Long non-coding RNA from Dermochelys coriacea (leatherback sea turtle), 4407 nucleotides. RefSeq lists it as uncharacterized. The transcript has 2 exons. NCBI's taxonomy places the organism in Eukaryota, Metazoa, Chordata, Testudines, Dermochelyidae. The record is from RefSeq and is a predicted model, not a curated record.
GAAUCUGCAAGUAUAGUAAUUGUUUACCUAGCAACACAACAACAAAAAGUUUUAAAAAUUAUGGGGUAUGAAUUUAGUUUUGGCUGGGUAAACACAAUUGACAGGAAAUUGCCUCACAAUAUGUAUAUUUUUGCUCUGAAAAAAUACAGUAUAGUAUUUUGAUAGCAUAAAAGCUGUCAAGACAACAUUGGUAAUGCCAACCCAUAAGGGAUGCUGAAUUUUGAUAUUUAAGGGAGUAGAGACUGACCCAAUAUUUUGAGAUUUACAUACAAGACUUACUAAAUCUGCUAGCAGAAACCAAAAGUUUAUAUAAAACCAUUCCUAGCCAAGUGUUCCAUUUAGACAAGUUAAAUGACUCAAUUAUGACUUAUCUUUUUUCCUUCAUUUACUAUUAUUUUAAUGCACUUUGUAUUAAAUCUUAUAGUUUAAGUAAGGCACGACUUAAGACAAAGGGAGUUUUGAUUAAGGAGCAGGAAUUUUUCCCUUCAUCAUUUACCAUUCUCAAUGACUGGCACCUAUUUCUGAGUUUCCCAGUUGUUGCUUUUUUUUGUUUUAAGAUCAUGAAUAAAUUCAGUAAGUGUUUCUGAAUAGGUUUCAAGGCCAGAAUGCAAUAUGGGAAACUAUAAAGGCAAGGGAACUUGUUAUGGUCAAGCAGGAAGAAUGGGGUCAUGGCUCCUUUAAGGGUUCCCCUUCCUUUGGGAUGGGAGGGGAGGACGUCACCUGAACUGGGGACUUGUCAGCAGGACUCAUGAAAGCCAUUAUCUCCCUGUGCACCAGGUGGAAGUUAAUAUGCUCUCAUGCCCAGAUCAGCCGUUCUUACCCUCCCCUACCCAUGGGAUCAUAGAAGGACUGGGUUUUUGUGGCUGGCUGUAGGCAUCGUAUUUGUUGACCUUUCUGGAACUGGAAACUAACUUUUCCCUCACCUCCCGAUUGGCUGGAGUGCUUUUUUUUUCCCACCCUCCCAGAGCAGCUCCAGGAUCCAGCUAGGUAAGUUGGGAAGCAUAGUUUGUCAGGAAGCAGGGCCUGCAGCAGAGCCAGUCUCCGGGCAACCUAGUGAGUGCAGCAGGCAUGUAGAGGCUGCCGGCUUGCCUACACCCCAAGAUUGAUUGGAAGAAUCAAGAGUGUAGCUCUUAAGCCCAGCAGCAGUUUAGUGGCUGCUAAAAGCAUUCACCCAUGGCUGUGGUAGCUCCUGUGCCUGCUUAUUCCCAGCCCUGCUCCUGCCUUGCCUCACUCCAAGUUACCAGUCCUUGCUCUCAGCAUGGAUUCCUACUCUAACCACUAAGUCUGACUGCCCAUGUCCCAGUCACUGACACAGUUCAAGUAGUUGCAACUUAACAGGUGGCAGGUAUCUGGUGCAGGGACUCAUUCCAUAGGGAAUCUGGUUCCCGAACGACAGGGCUAGCCUUAGAAAGACUGGCACUCUGGGCAAACUUAUAUUUUGGCACUCUAUCUUUGUGUUUGAGAACAAGAGGAGCAUUGGGCACAGGACACAAGGACCAGCUCCUGGCCCCAGAGUUCAGAUGGGCUGCACAGGGAUGAGUUUCUGAGUCCAAAGGCUCCCCUGGCCAUAAACCCCGACAACCUACCAGGAAGAGAGCAAGUGUGCAGCCCCCAACCUUGCCCAUGGAAAGGGGAGACCCGGGGCUGGCCCACUGGCACUGCAGGAGCAAGCCCUCCUGCGUGCGCCUCCCCACCAGGCUGGCAGCUCUGGGCAACACCCACCAUCAACUCGUCUGGCCAGGGGCUCCAACCCUGGGCUUGCUCGCACUUAGUGCUUAAUUUGUGCUGGGGCUUGCCGAGACUUAGCCCCAGCACCUCUAGGCUCUUGGCCAGCAGUUGCCACCAGCAGCAGCGCAGAAGUAAGAGUGACAAUACGAUACCAUGCCACUCUUACUUCUGUGCUGCUGCUGGCAGUGGCGCUGCCUUCAGAGCUGGGUGCCCAACCAGCAGCUGCUGCUCUCUGGCCACCCAGCUUGAGCCUCAACACCUCUUUCAUUAUAAAUUAAGCACUGUCUACAUUCACACCUGCUCCAGCAGACCAGGCCCACCAGUUCGCGGCACUUGGACAGUGCCCCCCAGAUCAUGGUGCCCUGAGCAAUCACCAGCAUCACCCACCGCCAAGGCUGGCCCUGCUGACAGACCAGAUGUCACAGAUUUUAGGGAGCACCCCUUACUGGCCUCCCACUAGGACUACUGUAAGGGGAAUCCAAGCCCCUGCCACUCUGGAUCCCAGGAGUAUUUCAAGCUUGAAUGGAACCCAGAUGCUGCCCCAAUAUUGGGGUCCCCUAAGUAUACUCUCAGGGCUCAAACCUUCUAUCUGGCACCCUCUUCCACCUGUUGGAACUUGCUGUGCAGCCACUGAGACCCUCUGAGUGAAGUGGAAGGUAUGAGGAUGUGUUGUGUGUGAAUUAUUGCUGGAUAAUUCCCAAAAUUUGUUAAAUUAAUAAAGUAGCAGUCUAAUUAAAGCACAUCCCUUACGUCUUGCCUUUCUUCCAGCCUCUAAGGGACAAUGGACUUCUAAGGCCAUAUAAUCACCCUUCCUGCAUAACAUUCCAUAGAAUUCAGUAAGUAAUUCUUCCUUAAUACCAAACUGUCUGUAUCUUUUAGAAAAGUAUCUACCUAAUCUUGAUUUAAAGACUACAACUGAUAGAGAAUUACUUUAUCCUUUGGUAACCUGUUACUUAAUUUACAUUUUAUUUCCAGUUUCAUUUUUUUCUAAUUUCAAUUUCUAGUCAUUAGAUCUUGUUAUGCAUUUGUCUACUAUAUUAAAGAGCACUCCAAUAUGAGCUAUCUUCUCCUUGUAUUCGGACCUCAGGAUCAUGAUCAGCUUAACUCUUGAAUCUCUUUCAUUUAUCAAAGAAAAGUUUAGUUUUUUUUUUUUUUAAAAUAGAUUAGACAAAUGUGAUGUCUGGACUACUAGGAAUUAGGAAAUCCACAGAAAGCAGAUUGCCAGUAUUUGAUUAACAAGAUUACUUUCUGCAGUCACUUAAUUCAAUGCUUAAGUAUUUUUAAAAAUAUUUUUACAUGGUCUGAUAUUUUUAACUCCACCUACUAUUUAAAUGAUCUGAGCCCUCUACUGUUUAAUACAGAGAGCCAAUACAGAUUAUUUUGACUGUUGUUAUUCCAAAAUACCUCUAUAUUUAGAGAUGAUGCAUAUUUAUUAAGGAUUCCAUUAAGCACGACAUUUCCAUUUUAAUUUGAGACUUGGAAGUCACAAACACAGCUUUUAGAUGGUAUCCUCUACCACGGUCAAUAGCAAUCAGCAAGCAUAAGGGAAAAGGGAGACUCCUGGGCUAUGCAAUUAUACAAGAUGAAAGGAUUUGUAGUUGAAGUACCUUCCUGCAAAAUGCUGAAAAUUCUAGAGGAUUAAAAUCCUUCAUGAAAUUACAAAUUAAAAUGACAAAAAAAAAAGAAAGAUGGCGCACUAAUAAUCUGUGGCAAAUAAACUCCAGAUUUAUCACAGGAGCGGAUAUCAUCUAUGCUAUACCACAGAUGAGAAAUCUGGAACAAAAGUUUAAUUUUAGGUUUUUUAUAUACAGACUUAUUCAAUAAGUAUGAAUGUUAAUAUAAGAACACACUGUAAAAUGUUUCAAACAUAAUACUACCACCUACCUGUAAACAAGAUUUAUAUUAAGUUGCCGCCAAUUUCACGAACAUAAAGUGUGCAUACACCUACUGCAUAUGGGCAUUGUGUUCAGUGUUUGCGCAGUGCCUUUUAAAGAGUAUUAGAAUGUUGGAUCAAAAUGAAAAUUGUUGGUAGGCAGGUAUUUAUAAUUAAACUACAAUUUAUCACAGCUGAAUAAUUUUUUUUUUUUUGAAGAUUUACAUUGAUGGGUUGAAAGUUAUUACAUUAUGCAGAUUUAAUGUUUCAACACAUGUAGAGACAGAAUACUUCAUACUAUGUUGAGUGCACAUUGUACACAGGAAAGUCCAAUUGAGAGAAAUAACUUCAAAAUGUUAUUUUUUCCCCCACACACACUUCCCUAAGUAGUAUGCACUCAGAUACUACGGUGACAAGAUCCAUAUAGUAGUGAAUGUAAAUAUAUUUUACAACUUUCAACCUUUACUGAAAGUCUGUUGGAUUGAAAACAUCUCCACACACACACUUUCCAAUGAAAGCUGUUAGAGAACAUCGAAGACAACAACAUCUGAACUUAAUCUUCAUAUAGGUAAUACACUUAUCUAGUAACCAAAUUUCAAAACUGAAGCUUAAAAACAGCUUUUACCUCAGUUAUCCUGCAAUGUAUUACCUUUUAUUUAACAGUAAAACAGUACUAUCUGAAGAUAGAGAGUACAUUGUUCUUUAGUCAUCCAAGUGACUAAUUAGGAAAGCUUAAUUACAAUAUUUUAAUUGAUUGUGUAGCUUAUUUCAUCAACUAUUUUUCCCAUUGGAAGUCACCAUAAAAA